Molecule: ribosomal RNA, 759 nt
Filed under: uncultured bacterium
Lineage: Bacteria
Description: bacterial SSU rRNA
Rfam family: Bacterial small subunit ribosomal RNA
Source: RNAcentral
UCGGAGUGCUUGCACUCUGUGAAACAAGAUACAGGCUAGCGGCGGACGGGUGAGUAACACGUGGGUAACCUGCCCAAGAGAUCGGGAUAACACCUGGAAACAGAUGCUAAUACCGGAUAACAACAGAUGAUGCCUAUCAACUGUUUAAAAGAUGGUUCUGCUAUCACUCUUGGAUGGACCUGCGGUGCAUUAGCUAGUUGGUAGGGUAACGGCCUACCAAGGCGAUGAUGCAUAGCCGAGUUGAGAGACUGAUCGGCCACAUUGGGACUGAGACACGGCCCAAACUCCUACGGGAGGCAGCAGUAGGGAAUCUUCCACAAUGGACGCAAGUCUGAUGGAGCAACGCCGCGUGAGUGAAGAAGGGUUUCGGCUCGUAAAGCUCUGUUGUUGGUGAAGAAGGACAGGGGUAGUAACUGACCUUUGUUUGACGGUAAUCAAUUAGAAAGUCACGGCUAACUACGUGCCAGCAGCCGCGGUAAUACGUAGGUGGCAAGCGUUGUCCGGAUUUAUUGGGCGUAAAGCGAGUGCAGGCGGCUCGAUAAGUCUGAUGUGAAAGCCUUCGGCUCAACCGGAGAAUUGCAUCAGAAACUGUCGAGCUUGAGUACAGAAGAGGAGAGUGGAACUCCAUGUGUAGCGGUGAAAUGCGUAGAUAUAUGGAAGAACACCGGUGGCGAAGGCGGCUCUCUGGUCUGUUACUGACGCUGAGGCUCGAAAGCAUGGGUAGCGAACAGGAUUAGAUACNCUGGUAGUCCAUGCCGU